GGAAAGAAACGAGAAAGGAAAGAAAUAUAAAAGAAAGAAAUGGAAAGGAAAAGUGUGAUGAUCUUUUACAGGUAAAAACGAGGACUCAAAAGUAAACCUGUGUAAACCCGAAACUCUCUACCCGGACUCUACCGUCCCAACGGAGAAGCUACGCUGCCUUCCAUACUCUCUGGGACUCUCUUCUUGCAAUUGCUGUCGCGCCGUCCUGUUCGCCGCCUUCCGCUCGCCGCCUCGUCGCGACCCUGUCGCACGUUGCAGUUCCUGCUAGUUCUGUGAGAGUCUUGAGUAGCAGGAUUUUUUCAGUACCAGGGCAAGUGGGCUAUCAUCAUCCCUUGAAGUAAACAUCUGGAUGGCUGAAACUCUUGUUCCAUAUUUUGAAGAAUUAAGACCAAAGCAUCAUCUUCAGGUUAUUAGAGAAGUAAAAGCAGGCUCUGAAAGCAAAGCUAUUGUCAAGACUAACGCACACAGGCAGCGUUCUUAUCCCUAUGAAAGAUGAGUCUCUGGCACUAUGAACUCUCCUAUUAUUCUUAUUCUAUUGCAUUAGAAAACAAAAACAAAGCAAGAUUUUUCUCGACUGUGUUUGAGUUUCACAGUGAAUGGUAAACGCAAAGUCCUUUUUAAUUAUUAUACAAAACCUCAUACACUUUAUCAACGUUCAAUGAGAUUAGUUCCGUGUUGAACCACAAAGUUGAAUUCACAGUCUUCAACAUUUGAACCGAACUCUCUGGGUUCUAACAAUUAGCCAUUAUGCACGUCUUUGUUGAUUCAAAGAGGACAACGUUUUUGGGUGCAUAAUUAAGAUAAAUUUUAGGCUGAAUUAAAUAAAAUCUCGUUAAAAUUAGGAUGAAGUGCGUUUGGAAUUUAGAUAUAUGUUGAGUGCACCGUGAACAAAUUUUCAUUUUGAAGGUUAAGAUAUAUCUAAACACAGCCGAAAUUAACAUGAUUUGUCUGAUUUUAUGUUACAGAAUACUUACUGCAAAAAUUCUAAAAAAUAAUCAACUUAUAAGAAUCAUCUAUUAAAGCAAUACAAUAUAAGAAUUUUGUCUAGUAAAUUUUGAAAAAGACAAUCUUACAACAUAAUAGUGUUUUAAUCAAUUUUUCAGGUAGUAUAUUAGAUUACGGAAGUAUAAGUCAAUGUCUUAUCUGAUACAAGGAGACUCUAGUCUAGAAUCUAGAUGCAUGUUUACUGUUUAGGACUUUAGUAUAUUGUUUUCCUUCAGCAUCAAAUUUGUGUACGAGAUUCUUCGUUCACUUUUGUUUUGGCAUUUACUCAAUUAUUGGGGAGACUAGGCAAGUUAAUUUCCUACCAGCUACCACCAUCAUCUCAACAACUCUUCGCAUGUAUGAGUUAUGACAAUUUGCUUGAAAUUUGUAAAGGGAAAAUAAACUACAUUAGUUCUGUUCCAGAUAAAUGCCUACCACGUCUAAAAUGGGCACAAUGAGAUAUGUAUUUAAUACUAUUACACGUAGAGGUCCCUGAAGGUUAGCUCAAGUGGUAUAUAAGGGUUGGAUAUGAUGAAGGGUGAAGGAUAAAUGAUUCGAACCCUGAGGAGAGACUAAUUUACCAAUAACUAACAUUUGCCUAUAAAAAAAUUAUUAAAAUAGGGCUGUGUGUAGAUUGAGUCGACCCAAACCUACCCGACUCGAUUUGAAGCAAAAAAGUCGGGUUGAGUGCAAAGAUUUAAUUGAUUUUAGAGAUUCAUAACUAAAAAAUAUAAGGUCGGGUAUAGAGUUAAGGAAAUUAAAGUAAGAUAUGGAGAACCCAACUGAACCAAACCAAUGUGCUAAAUAGUAUUAGUGAGGAACUGAGGAUUCACUCACUUGACUCUACUCACUUGACUCUAGGUUUUCCAAUUUUCUCCCGCUUCCACUUCUCUUGUGCCUUCCUUCUCUUCCGACCCCGAUCAUAAGUUGUCUAUAUAUUACUAACUUUGAAAUAAACAUUUGUACCUACCUAGAAUUGAUUUUAAUCUUAUUUUCGUAAAUUUUCGUAAGCUUAUUUUAGUUUAUGAAUUUUCUUGUGCUAUAAACACUUGUUUCCAUAAAGCAUUUAAUUAAAAUUUUUACCU
Molecule: long non-coding RNA, 2069 nt
Organism: Lotus japonicus
Lineage: Eukaryota; Viridiplantae; Streptophyta; Magnoliopsida; Fabales; Fabaceae
Exons: 4
Source: RefSeq, a predicted model, not a curated record